This 2920-nucleotide small RNA is filed under the name Rattus norvegicus (Norway rat). RNAcentral describes it as "uncharacterized LOC108348536". Lineage: Eukaryota; Metazoa; Chordata; Mammalia; Rodentia; Muridae. The record is from RNAcentral.
UCCAGGUGAGCACAGACACCUAUCUUCACCUCCUGCCCUUUUUUUCCCAAGAGCAGCUGUCCUCUUGCUUCAGAGACUCAGGCAGAACACGCCUGCUCCUCAGGCCCUUGUUAAAAAACUCUGUCACAUGGAGACCUUCUCCUGCAGGCAGGUGGCCCAGCAGGGAUCCCCUUGUGACUGAAGUCAGAGUUUGCACAGACUCCUAAGAGGUUUUCCGAUUUCUCACUGCCCUGGUGGUCAGAGGAGGGAAUUAAGCAAAGGAAAAUGACCAGCUGAGCUUUUUGGAAGUCCAAAGGAACAAUGGCACACGCUCUCUCGCAGUCCUGUUGUAGAGUCAGAUGGCCAGGGCAAGGGACUCUUUGGCUUCCUUCCUUGUUCUGCAAGUCCCUUACCCACCGGUGGAGGCUCCCACUGUGACCAAACUGCUUUGCAACACCGAGUGGGAACUGGUGAACACCCUCACACCCCAAUCCGUCACUGUGUCAGCGAAAAGCCAAGGGACAACCCAGGCUGGCUGCGUGGGCGCAGGGAACCGUCUGGACAGUUUGCUAGCCCAGGUAGAUCAAUGCCUCUCUGGAGAAGGGAGGCGACGCGGAGGCUCCCACAGUCUUGCCAUCUGUUCUCUGAGAGUUAGCCUCCAUUUCUCUCUUCACGCAAGGACAGCAUCUGUGGAGAGAUCUCUGAUCUCAUUCCUCGAGAUGUCAGUGCAUUUGUUGUCCAGCGUGGCUCCAUCUCACAGACCUUGAUCUUGAAGGAUGCUCCAACCACCUCCUCGGGCGGGCCUGUGGACUGGACUCAGAAAAUCCGGCUGUGUUCUUGUUCCUGUCAAGUCCCAGAAUCCCUUAGGUCUGUUCUCUUAUUUAUAAAGUUAGAAGAAUGGCUGGGUGGGGGUGGGGGGUAUCUCUCAGGGCUCUUUUAGCUCCAAAUGGCUACGAUUCUAUUUAGACUCAUUUGAAGAGCAGACAAUGGACUCUAUUUUUUGGUGGCACUGGUGACUGCCUUUUUAUAUGCAAAUGUGAACUGUGAAUCCCAAAAGGGACUGUGGAAAUGAACUGCCCCUAGUGGAGGGUCAUGGACCUUGAUGGAUGGACAAUACCAGCAGGCAAAGUAGGGGGAAAACCCGAGAGGUCACGGAACCAAGUGGAAUUUCAAUGAAGGGGACGGCGAGUGAAUGAGGUAAACAGAACCUGAGUCAAGUUUAUUGAGUCCUCUAGCUAAGGGCAUGAUGGAAACCAGACUGCUUAGUUUCUCCAAGUGUAUGCCAAUAUGGCAAUAGGAAAAAUGAUUGGACGGUAAUAUAAAUUUUACAACAUUGGGAAAAACAGAGUUGAGUUGAUGCCUUAAGGCCAGUCAUCUGAGCGGUGCCUUUUCAGAGUGGACAAGGGCUCUUGGGAUAGUUUCAUGCUUUCAGGGGUAACCAAAAAAAAUUAGGUUAUAUGGUCAUUUGCUUGAGGUAUGUCCCCCAUACGCAGAGGCUUUAGACCCUUGAUCCCUGGUUGGGGAGGGACCCUUGCUGAUGGAAGUUUGUCAAGGGGUGCAGACUUGAGAGUUCGUAGCCUCACCCCACUUCCAGUUUGUUUUCCCUGCUUCCUGUGUCUCCAUGGACAUGCUAUCUAUCAGCUUCCGGUUCUGACUGUUUGCUCAUGAUGGACUCUGAUCAGCCUGGAACCGUACAUCAAACUGAGCACUUCUUUCUAUAAGUUGUCUGGUUUUGAUAUUUCUCCCAGCAAUAAAAAGUAAUUAAUACAGGUUACUACUUUUUAGUUCCUUCCUGAGCUGUAAAUGAUACGCAAAGCAAAAUAUCCUUACAGUGAAGCGAGACUAACACACACGCAGACACACACAUGCUUUACAAAAACGAUUGCUUUCUGUGUAUAGUCUAUUGUCUCAAUGAAGACAUAUAGGUUGUUCAUGCUGGUAGGGCCUUGAGAUCCUUACCUGGAGCUGCACAGGCAGACAUUAGCAGUGGAAUAGAUGCAUGUACACUAUUUUGCGGGAUGCAAACCAUUUGCUGCUUCUCUAAAGUAAUAGCAUUAACCCAAUUUGUCAAUGGAUCCAUUCCCUCAAUAGACGACAGUCCCUUAACCAGGCACGGUGGCACAUUCCUUCAAUCCAGACACUCUCAAGGCUAAAUUGGAAGGACCAAGGUUAAAACUUUGUUUGCUUGUGGUAGUGAUAACACAAACAACGCCAAAACCGUAAUAACUGAAUGAGUCUUCUUGUAGAAGAAUGAUUAAUUGCCAUUAUUGACUCUAUAUUAUAUAUCACCUCUGGGACUAUCUAGGAGUGUGUUUCAGGUUUAACUGCGUGUGAUGGCUAGUCUUGGCUGUACACUUGACAUACCUCAAUUGAAGGACUGCUUCUAUCAGGUUGCUCUUGAUGGUGAUGCUUAAAUGAUUCUUGAUGACAUGAAAGCCUACAGCAUUCUGGGCAGAACAGCUCCUGGCAGGUGGGUCUGGGGCAUAUAAGAAAGGUAGCUGGACAGUAGGUAGCAUUCAUCCAUUGGUUUCUUUUUUCAAGUUCUUGUCUUGAGUUCCUGCCCUGGCUUCCAUAAAUGAUAGGCUGUAACCUGUAAGCCAAACAAUGCUUUUUCUUCCCAAGCUGGCUUUGGUCAGCGUCUUAUCACAGUAACAGAUAGCAACCUAGGACAACUGUUGAUGGAAGAAUCCCUUUGAGUUUAUACCACAUCAUCCUAUGAGCAGGUAUCUCAGCCUGGAUAAAAAGACAAGAGCGAGACAAGGGCAAAGUGCUAGUACUCACCAGUUACAUCUUCCUUAAUGUGAUCAGCUAACUCAGGCUCCUGUCACCACACUGGUCGUGGAGGACUGUGUCCUUCAAACUGUGAGCUAAAACAAAUCUCCGAAGACAAGAAACUAAGCUUGAGGCAGUCAAAAGAACUGCUAAACAUUGGCAUUUUUUU